CAAAACGUAGCUUAACUUAAAGCAUCUCGCUUACACCGAGAAAAUGCCCGUGAAAUCCGAGCCAUUUUGA
This 70-nucleotide transfer RNA is filed under the name Dendropsophus marmoratus (marbled treefrog). RNAcentral describes it as "tRNA-Val". It matches the Rfam family "tRNA". From Rfam's summary of the family: Transfer RNA (tRNA) molecules are approximately 80 nucleotides in length. Their secondary structure includes four short double-helical elements and three loops (D, anti-codon, and T loops). Lineage: Eukaryota; Metazoa; Chordata; Amphibia; Anura; Hylidae. The record is from RNAcentral.